This 497-nucleotide ribosomal RNA is filed under the name uncultured bacterium. RNAcentral describes it as "partial 16S ribosomal RNA". It matches the Rfam family "Bacterial small subunit ribosomal RNA", at positions 28 to 507 of the family's 1533-position model. The record is from RNAcentral.
GAUGAACGCUGGCGGCGUGCCUAAUACAUGCAAGUCGAGCGAACGGACGAGAAGCUUGCUUUUCUGAUGUUAGCGGCGGACGGGUGAGUAACACGUGGAUAACCUACCUAUAAGACUGGGAUAACUUCGGGAAACCGGAGCUAAUACCGGAUAAUAUUUUGAACCGCAUGGUUCAAAAGUGAAAGACGGUCUUGCUGUCACUUAUAGAUGGAUCCGCGCUGCAUUAGCUAGUUGGUAAGGUAACGGCUUACCAAGGCAACGAUGCAUAGCCGACCUGAGAGGGUGAUCGGCCACACUGGAACUGAGACACGGUCCAGACUCCUACGGGAGGCAGCAGUAGGGAAUCUUCCGCAAUGGGCGAAAGCCUGACGGAGCAACGCCGCGUGAGUGAUGAAGGUCUUCGGAUCGUAAAACUCUGUUAUUAGGGAAGAACAUAUGUGUGAGUAACUGUGCACAUCUUGACGGUACCUAAUCAGAAAGCCACGGCUAACUACGUG